RNAcentral lists this non-coding RNA (29 nucleotides) under Rattus norvegicus (Norway rat). The record is from RNAcentral. Lineage: Eukaryota; Metazoa; Chordata; Mammalia; Rodentia; Muridae.
UUUAAACAAACGAAUGCAUGGAGGUACGA